This is a non-coding RNA of Arachis ipaensis, 698 nucleotides long. The record is from RefSeq and is a predicted model, not a curated record. Lineage: Eukaryota; Viridiplantae; Streptophyta; Magnoliopsida; Fabales; Fabaceae.
GGUCGAGAGAUUCUCAACCCGCAGGUAGGGUAGGAUAGAGUUUUAAUAGAAUUUUCAACCUGCGGGUAGGGUUAAACCCUACCCUACCAUACCCAUUGCCAACCCUACUUCUGACUCUUCUUAUCAUCUGAACUCGGCUGCCGGCGCUUAUUGUCUGCCGCAGCCGGCUCUUAUUGUCUCAGCCGCAGCUGGCACCGGAGCAGGCAGCUGGCACUGCAGUUUCGUAUCUUCCGCCGCCACCACAAGUGUGUCUCGUCUCUGGUCGUAGCUUGCGCCUCUUUGGAUCGUAGUCACACCGCCGCUCUGUUCCGCCGUCUUUUGUUCUGCUGUCCGCCUUUCUUUGUCUUGACCAGCUCUGUUCUCUGGUACCCUCGCCUUUCCUCAAGCAAUGACACAAGGACGAGGCUUACAUUUGUCACAUUGAGAAAGUUGAAGGGGAGCUUUUCAUUGGAAGAAGCCAAAACCAAGAAACAAGUAUAAAUUGAAAAAACAACAUUUGCUGCACCCAAAUCUAAGGGAAGCAAAGGUUUUUUUUUUUUUUUCCAAAGUUAGGAGUGGACUCGAAUCUGUGAACCUCUAGGUGAGUAUGUGGAGUCAUUUGAUCUAUAGCUCGUUGGCCUGCAUCUAAGUUUUUGCUUGGGUUAGGGUUUGGUUUAUUAUUUUUGGGGCAACAAUGAAUUUUGAUACCGAAUGAAAAA